UAGGGAAUCUUCGGCAAUGGGGGGAACCCUGACCGAGCAACGCCGCGUGAGUGAAGAAGGUUUUCGGAUCGUAAAGCUCUGUUGUUAAGGAAGAACGAGUGUGAGAAUGGAAAGUUCAUGCUGUGACGGUACUUAACCAGAAAGGGACGGCUAACUACGUGCCAGCAGCCGCGGUAAUACGUAGGUCCCGAGCGUUGUCCGGGUUUAUUGGGCGUAAAGCGAGCGCAGGCGGUUAGAAAAGUCUGAAGUGAAAGGCAGUGGCUCAACCAUUGUAGGCUUUGGAAACUGUUUAACUUGAGUGCAGAAGGGGAGAGUGAAAUUCCAUGUGUAGCGGUGAAAUGCGUAGAUAUAUGGAGGAACACCGGUGGCGAAAGCGGCUCUCUGGUCUGUAACUGACGCUGAGGCUCGAAAGCGUGGGGAGCGAACAGG
RNAcentral lists this ribosomal RNA (429 nucleotides) under Bacteroidota bacterium. Its description in RNAcentral is "Bacteroidetes bacterium partial 16S ribosomal RNA". It matches the Rfam family "Bacterial small subunit ribosomal RNA", at positions 355 to 776 of the family's 1533-position model. Lineage: Bacteria; Pseudomonadati; Bacteroidota. The record is from RNAcentral.